UACAGAGGUCCCGAGCGUUGUUCGGAUUCAUUGGGCGUAAAGGGUGCGUAGGCGGCGGGGCCAGUCUGAUGUGAAAUCCCCGGGCUCAACCCGGGAACUGCAUCUGAAACUGCUGGUCUUGAGUACUGGAGAGGGUGGCGGAAUUCCUGGUGUAGAGGUGAAAUUCGUAGAUAUCAGGAGGAACACCGGUGGCGAAGGCGGCCACCUGGACAGUAACUGACGCUGAGAUGCGAAAGCGUGGGGAGCAAACAGG
RNAcentral lists this ribosomal RNA (253 nucleotides) under uncultured bacterium. RNAcentral describes it as "partial 16S ribosomal RNA". It matches the Rfam family "Bacterial small subunit ribosomal RNA", at positions 524 to 776 of the family's 1533-position model. The record is from RNAcentral.